This 3123-nucleotide long non-coding RNA is filed under the name Homo sapiens (human). RNAcentral's name for it is "HSALNT0020598". The record is from RNAcentral. Lineage: Eukaryota; Metazoa; Chordata; Mammalia; Primates; Hominidae.
GCCCGGGGUCCGAGGGGCCCGCUGCCCGGGCUCGCUGCGUGGUGCUACCGCCCCCGGGCCCGCUGCGCCGCGUCGGAGCCCCAGCAGACUUUGAGAGGCGUGUGCGACAGUGCGCGUCCUCUCCUGCCUCUGGAUGUUUCCUUGGAGCCUCUGGCCUUCGGGAAGACCGCCUGAUGGCCUGGUGUUGGGCCUGAUCACCCCAAAAUUUCAGGCACCCAACGUGGGGCUAUGAAGACCAUGGUAAAGAAAUGCUAGAGUAUAUGGAAAUGAAGGACAUAUCAUCAAAGGACACCCGAGGAUGGCUGAAAGAAGCUUGGUGGGUAAGCUGGGCACUCUGAAGAACCAAGUGCCACUGGGUUAGAGUCUCCCCGACCAAGCUGGUCUCAGCAAGUGGUCUCCAUCAUGGGGGCUCGAAUCCAGGUUGAAGGGUCACCAGAGUGAUGGUUGGAGAACAUGGAACUAGCUGGAGGACACCUGAGUACUCUUAAAGCAAACCCCGUGUUAAUUGAAAAUGCUCAGUUACGAUUUCAUACAGAUGAACAACUGAAGACAAAAACAACAAAGGGGGAGAAAGAGGGAUUAUGGGACAGCCCAUAUACAAUUGAAUCUAGCAUUAUUAACUUUAAAUUUUUUGAGUCUGCCUAAAGGCCAGAUGUUAUCAGCAGCUGAACAGCAUUUACAGAAACCGGCUGCAAAGACAGAAGCAGAACAACUGGUUUGGUGGAGAGAUCCGAUAACAAAAAGUUGGGAAAUAGGUAAAAUAAUAACUUGGGGUAGAGGUUAUGUUUGUGUUUCUCCAGGCCAAAAUCAAUAACCAAUUUGGAUACCAUCAAGACACCUGAAACCUUAUCAUGAGCCAGAUGCUGAGGAAGAGAUUCCAGGAGGAUCCUGAGGACCCCCUGGUUGCAGCCACGUCGAGGCUGACACUGAGGAGGACCCCAACUGUCAUGAGCAACACCCGUCGAACACAGCCAUCCACCUGGGGACAAAUCAAGAAGCUGUCACAGAUGAUGGAAGAAAACCUGAGGAAAGCGGGACAACCAAUCACAAUGAGUAAUUUGGUGAUCUAUCACAGUGAUGAUCACCAUUGCCAUGAGUAUUCCUUCAACAAGGGCUGACACAGAGAACAAUUAUACUUAUUGGGCAUAUUUAUCAAUCUUGUCUGGCAAUAAUGCCUAGAUGAUUUCACUCUAUGGCACAGUUACACAUGCUUUCUGAUCUCAGUAUUUACCAUAAUAAAUCUGCUCCUAUAAUUGAGGCAUACCACCCUCAAAAACCUAUUUGUAAACAAAAUAGAACCUGGCCAGAAAUAAUGAACAACUUGUUUAGUAAGAUUGCAUUGCAGAACAGGCAGAGAUGCUACGCAAUGAUUCCUAUGGGAUCAUUGAUUGGUCCCCUAAGGGGAUGUUUAGCUUAAAUUGCACCUCUCAGUCUGCAUGCCAUGGCCACACUAGUUCAGAUGGUCUGAACAAAGUGGUCAGAUGGCAGAAAUGAUAAGAAGUAUGGCAAAAGUUCCUAUUGUCUGGAACCAUGGCAGUAUAGUGUCACCUCAACCUCAAAUGAUAUGGCUCAUUGUAGGAGCUAAACAUAAGGAUUUGUGGAAACUAUUAAUAGCUCUUAAUAAGAUCAAAAUUUGGGAAAGAAUAAAAAAAGCAUCUAGAAAGACACUCUACAAACUUGUCUUUGGAUAUUACAAAAUUAAAAGAACAAAUAUUUAAAGCAUCCCAGGUACACCUGACCUUAAUGACAGAAACUGGAGUGCUUGAAGGAGCUGCAGACAGAUUAGCAGCUAGUAACCCAUUAAAAUGGAUAAAAACACUUGGAAGCUCUGUGAUUUCAAUGAUGAUUGUGCUUUUAAUCGGUAUUGUUUGUCUUUGUAUAGUGUGCAGAUGUGGAUCCUGACUCCUGUGAGAAGUAGCUCACAGUGUCAAAGCUGCCUUUGCUUUUAUCGAUUUGCAAAUCAAAUAAGGGGGACAUAUUGGGAACAGCACCCCCCCCCCCAAAAUCUGGCCAUAAACUGGUCCCAAAACUGGCCAUAAACAAAAUCUCUGCAGCACUGACAUGUUCAUGAUGGUCUUAAUGCCCACGCUGGAAGGUUGUGGGUUUACCAGAAUGAGAGCAAGGAACACCUGGCCCACCCAGGGUGGAAAACCACUUAAAGGCAUUCUUAAACCACAAACAAUAGCAUGAGUGAUCUGUGCCUUAAGGCUGUGCUACUGCUGCAGAUAACUAGCCCAACCCAUCCCUUUAUUUCAGCCCAUCCCUUCGUUUCCCAUAAGGGAUACUUUUAAUUAAUCUAAUAUGUAUAGAAAGAAUGCUAAUGACUGGCUUGCUGUUAAUAAAUAACGUGGGUAAAUCUCUGUUGGAGGCUCUCAGCUCUGAAGGCUGUGAGACCCCGGAUUUCCCACUUCACACCUCUGUAUUUCUGUGUGUCUGUCUUUAAUUCCUUUAGCACCACUGGGUUAGGGUCUCCCCGACCGAGCUGGUCUUUGCACUUCUCACUUCUGGAUAUAGGCCUCCCUAGAGGGUUUUUUUUUUCUUUUUUGAUAGGAUCUUGCUCUUUCAUCCAGGCUGGUGUGCUGUAGUGUAUUCAUGGCUUGCUGCAGUCUUGAUCUCCCAGACUCAAGUAAUCCUCCCAUCUCAGCCUCCUGAAUAGCUAGGACCACAGGCCUGUGCCACCAUGUCUGGCUACUUUAAUUUUUUUUCCCUUAGAGACAGAGUCUCACUAUGUUGCCCAGGCUGGUCUCACAUUCCUGCACUCGUCAUCUUCCUGCCUUGGCCUUCCAAAGUGCUGAGAUUACAGGCAUGAAACACUACACCUGGCCAUCCCUGGAGUAUUUCUUCCUUCCUUCCUUCCUUGCUUCCUUCCUUCCUUUUUUCUUUUCCUCCCUCCCUCUCUCUUUCUUUCUUUGUUUCUUUUUCUCCCUUUCUUCCUUUCUUUCUUUCUUUUCUUUCUUUCUUCCUUCCUUUCUUUUUCUUUCUCUCUUUCUUUCUUCUUUCCUUCCUCCUUCCCUCCUUCCCUCCCCUCCCUCCCCCUCCCCUCCCUUCCUUCCUUCCUUCUUUCCUUCCUUCCUUCCUUUCUUCCUUCCUUCUUUCCUGUCUUAUUUCAAAACACAUGUCUUC